GGAAACAUGCCUGAAUGCAAAAGGACCACUUUGAUAGAGUGGCUAAUGAGGGUUAGACUCCCUUUGUUUCCU
RNAcentral lists this transfer RNA (72 nucleotides) under Polyacanthonotus rissoanus (smallmouth spiny eel). Its description in RNAcentral is "tRNA-Ile". It matches the Rfam family "tRNA". Rfam says of the family: Transfer RNA (tRNA) molecules are approximately 80 nucleotides in length. Their secondary structure includes four short double-helical elements and three loops (D, anti-codon, and T loops). The record is from RNAcentral. Lineage: Eukaryota; Metazoa; Chordata; Actinopteri; Notacanthiformes; Notacanthidae.